This 429-nucleotide ribosomal RNA is filed under the name bacterium. RNAcentral's name for it is "partial 16S ribosomal RNA". It matches the Rfam family "Bacterial small subunit ribosomal RNA", at positions 355 to 776 of the family's 1533-position model. The record is from RNAcentral.
UAGGGAAUCUUCCACAAUGGACGCAAGUCUGAUGGAGCAACGCCGCGUGAGUGAAGAAGGUUUUCGGAUCGUAAAGCUCUGUUGUUGGUGAAGAAGGAUAGAGGCAAUAACUGGUCUUUAUUUGACGGUAAUCAACCAGAAAGUCACGGCUAACUACGUGCCAGCAGCCGCGGUAAUACGUAGGUGGCAAGCGUUGUCCGGAUUUAUUGGGCGUAAAGCGAGCGCAGGCGGAAUGAUAAGUCUGAUGUGAAAGCCCACGGCUCAACCGUGGAACUGCAUCGGAAACUGUCAUUCUUGAGUGCAGAAGAGGAGAGUGGAAUUCCAUGUGUAGCGGUGGAAUGCGUAGAUAUAUGGAAGAACACCAGUGGCGAAGGCGGCUCUCUGGUCUGCAACUGACGCUGAGGCUCGAAAGCAUGGGUAGCGAACAGG